GUAGAUUUGCCGCCGGGUAAAAACGACUUUAAGCGUUGUGCUUUGCAUCAUUAGGCCUUUGAAGAUGCAAAAGACUCAGCGCUUUUAUUUU
Molecule: non-coding RNA, 91 nt
Filed under: unclassified sequences
Source: RNAcentral